AAUCAACGCUGGCGGCGUGCCUAACACAUGCAAGUCGAGCGAGAAAGGGGCUUCGGCCCUGAGUAAAGCGGCGCACGGGUGAGUAACACGUGGGUAAUCUGCCCUAGAGUGGGGAAUAACACCGGGAAACCGGUGCUAAUACCGCAUACGAUCACGAUGUUUUCGAAUGUUGUGAUGAAAGGAGCAAUUCGCUCUUGGAGGAGCCCGCGGCUGAUUAGCUAGUUGGGAGGUAAUGGCUCACCAAGGCUACGAUCAGUAUCCGGUCUGAGAGGACGGUCGGACACACUGGAACUGAGACACGGUCCAGACUCCUACGGAGGCAGCAGUGGGGAAUUUUUCGCAAUGGGGGCAACCCUGACGAAGCAACGCCGCGUGGAUGAUGAAGUAUCUCGGUACGUAAAAUCCUUUCGACGGGAAGAAAGCCGCAAGGUCUGACGGUACCCGUAGAAGAAGCCCCGGCUAACUCCGUGCCAGCCGCCGCAGU
Molecule: ribosomal RNA, 484 nt
Filed under: uncultured bacterium
Lineage: Bacteria
Description: bacterial SSU rRNA
Rfam family: Bacterial small subunit ribosomal RNA
Source: RNAcentral